This 460-nucleotide ribosomal RNA is filed under the name uncultured bacterium. RNAcentral describes it as "partial 16S ribosomal RNA". It matches the Rfam family "Bacterial small subunit ribosomal RNA", at positions 338 to 795 of the family's 1533-position model. The record is from RNAcentral.
CCUACGGGAGGCAGCAGUGAGGAAUAUUGGUCAAUGGGCGCUAGCCUGAACCAGCCAAGUAGCGUGAAGGAUGACUGCCCUAUGGGUUGUAAACUUCUUUUAUAUGGGAAUAAAGUACAGUAUGUAUACUGAUUUGCAUGUACCUUAUGAAUAAGGAACGGCCAACUCCGUGCCAGCAGCCGCGGUAAUACGGAGGAUCCGAGCGUUAUCCGGAUUUAUUGGGUUUAAAGGGAGCGUAGGCGGGUUGUUAAGUCAGUUGUGAAAGUUUGGGGCUCAACCGUAAAAUUGCAGUUGAUACUGGCAUGCUUGAGUACAGGAGAGGUAGGCGGAAUUCGUGGUGUAGCGGUGAAAUGCGUAGAUAUCACGAGGAACUCCGAUUGCGAAGGCAGCCUGCUGGACUGUAACUGACGCUGAUGCUCGAAAGUGUGGGGAUCAAACAGGAUUAGAUACCCCUGUAGUC